Molecule: ribosomal RNA, 492 nt
Filed under: uncultured bacterium
Lineage: Bacteria
Description: partial 16S ribosomal RNA
Rfam family: Bacterial small subunit ribosomal RNA
Source: RNAcentral
AGUGAACGCUGGCGGUAGGCCUAACACAUGCAAGUCGAACGGCAGCACAGUAAGAGCUUGCUCUUACGGGUGGCGAGUGGCGGACGGGUGAGGAAUACAUCGGAAUCUACUUUUUCGGGGGGGAUAACGUAGGGAAACUUACGCUAAUACAGCAUACGACCUCCGGGUGAAAGCAGGGGAUCUUCGGACCUUUCGCGAGUGAAUGAGCCGAUGACGGAUUAGCUAGAUGGCGGGGGAAAGGCCCAGCAAGGCGACGAUCCGUAGAUGGUCUGAGAGGAUGAUCAGCCACACUGGAACUGAGACACGGUCCAGACUCCUACGGGAGGACGCAGUGGGGAAUAUUGGACAAUGGGCGCAAGCCUGAUCCAGCCAUACCGCGUGGGUGAAGAAGGCCUUCGGGUUGGAAAGCCCUUUUGUUGGUAAAGAAAAGCAGCAGGUUAAUACCCCGCUGUUCUGACGGUACCCAAAGAAUAAGCACCGGCUAACUUCGUG